This is a non-coding RNA of Chlorocebus sabaeus (green monkey), 1361 nucleotides long. The record is from RefSeq and is a predicted model, not a curated record. Lineage: Eukaryota; Metazoa; Chordata; Mammalia; Primates; Cercopithecidae.
GGCCAGGAGCAGCCUAGCAAUAUGGCGCAACCCCAUCUCUGUAGUCCAACCUCAGCCUCCCAACUACUUGAACACCAAGGUUCAAGGCUCCAGUGAGCUAUGAUCCCACCACAGAACUCCUGCCUGCGAGACUGAGACGAUGAUGAUUCUCCAUCUUCUAAGAGACCAAAGACCAACGAGCCACCACAGCCACCAGUUCCAGAACCUGCCAAUGUUGGGCAACAGAAAGUGAGGGAGUUCAACUCUGACAUGAACUUGUGAGUUCGACACAUGAAGAUUUACAACUUGAUAAACCAGCUUCAGGAGUAAAGGAAGAAUGGUAUGCCAGAAUCACUAAAUUAAGAAAGAUGGUGGAUCAGCUUUUCUGCAAAAAAUUUUGUAACUCCAGUUGGACUCUAUUGUUUCCAAGUCGACUUUCGUCCUCAUCCACAGCUCCUCCACACGAGCCCUGAACACCUGUUCAUAUUUGUUGACAGCGGUUUCCUGGAGUGCUGUCUUGAACGAUUCUGAACAGACUCAGCAAGAAAGUGUGUUUCAGUUGAUUGGGGGUGUCUGUCAUGGAGAAGGAAGUAAGGAGUGAGGAGCAUGCACAGCAUUCCCGGGGCAUUCCUGUCCAUUGUCUCAAUACCUGGUGCUGACGUUUCCUGUCCUUUAUCAGGAAUACUGGCUAUUCUGCGUCUGAUCACUUGAACUUAUUGAAGCUCUUGGACUCACUGAGGCAGUAAAAGUACCAUAUCCUGUGUUUGAAUCAAACCCCGAGUUCCUGUAUGUAGAAGCCUUGCCAGACAGGAUUUCCUUUCAAAGCCCUCCUGGUUUGGAAUUCCAUGACUUGAAAGGAUCGUCCAUGGAGACCUGAACUAGUUAUUUCCUACUUGCCUCCUGGAAUGGCUAAUAAACACUAAAGCUUCGCAGUUUCUGAAAAGACCAUGAAGCCCUGAGAGUAAUGAAAAGCUUCCUAACAUUGAGGUCACUGUGGAAGCCUCAACCAAGAUGUCUCACCCCAUCCUCUAUGAUGCAACAAGAAGCCCCUGGGGAACGUUUCAGUCCCACUCUGUACUUCUGUCAUUGUGCUCAUCACAGUCUGAACCAGCUAAGCUGAAGAUUACCUUGAGAACAAGGGCUAGCCUGUGAUUUCAUGGCCUUUCUUCCAUUUGUGGUUCUUACCAAGUGGAAUUUAAGUGACCUCUUAUCAAGAUGGAUAAACCCAAGUUUCCCAGUGCUGGAAUAUAGAAAACGGAUGGACAACUGAAUCUACCAUGAAAGACUUCAGAGACCAGGAAGAGAGACUGAUUGGGCAACAUCUUAUUCAGAAGCAGGACCUUGCUCUGUCACUCAGGAUGGAGUUCAGUUGUCCUAUCAUG